GGGCGGAUAGCUCAGCGGUAGAGCGCUUCCCUUACAAGGAAGAUGUCGGGGGUUCGAUCCCCUCUUCGCCCA
Molecule: transfer RNA, 72 nt
Filed under: Kribbella soli
Lineage: Bacteria; Bacillati; Actinomycetota; Actinomycetes; Propionibacteriales; Kribbellaceae
Also listed under: 15 other names
Description: tRNA-Val
Rfam family: tRNA
About the family: Transfer RNA (tRNA) molecules are approximately 80 nucleotides in length. Their secondary structure includes four short double-helical elements and three loops (D, anti-codon, and T loops).
Source: RNAcentral